ACGAACGCUGGCGGCGUGCUUAACACAUGCCAGUCGAACGGAAAGGCCCUGCUUUUGUGGGGUGCUCGAGUGGCGAACGGGUGGGUAACACGUGAGUAACCUGCCCUUGACUUUGGGAUAACUUCAGGAAACUGGGGCUAAUACCGGAUAGGAGCUCCUGCUGCAUGGUGGGGGUUGGAAAGUUUCGGCGGUUGGGGAUGGACUCGCGGCUUAUCAGCUUGUUGGUGGGGUAGUGGCUUACCAAGGCUUUGACGGGUAGCCGGCCUGAGAGGGUGACCGGCCACAUUGGGACUGAGAUACGGCCCAGACUCCUACGGGAGGCAGCAGUGGGGAAUAUUGCACAAUGGGCGGAAGCCUGAUGCAGCAACGCCGCGUGCGGGAUGACGGCCUUCGGGUUGUAAACCGCUUUCGCCUGUGACGAAGCGUGAGUGACGGUAAUGGGUAAAGAAGCACCGGCUAACUACGUG
RNAcentral lists this ribosomal RNA (467 nucleotides) under uncultured bacterium. Its description in RNAcentral is "partial 16S ribosomal RNA". It matches the Rfam family "Bacterial small subunit ribosomal RNA", at positions 29 to 507 of the family's 1533-position model. The record is from RNAcentral.